RNAcentral lists this small nuclear RNA (313 nucleotides) under Jaculus jaculus (lesser Egyptian jerboa). Its description in RNAcentral is "7SK RNA (ENSJJAG00000007802.1)". It matches the Rfam family "7SK RNA", at positions 1 to 293 of the family's 331-position model. Rfam says of the family: 7SK was discovered as an abundant small nuclear RNA in the mid-70s but a possible function has only recently been suggested. Two independent studies have found that 7SK RNA binds the CDK9/cyclin T complex (known as elongation factor P-TEFb). The record is from RNAcentral. Lineage: Eukaryota; Metazoa; Chordata; Mammalia; Rodentia; Dipodidae.
GGAUGUGAGGGCGAUCUGGCUGUGACAUCUGUCACCCCAUUGAUCACCGGGGUUGACUGGCUGAUCUGGCUGGCUAGGCCGGCGUCCCCUUUCUCCCUCACCGCUCCAUGUGCGUUCAGUUGAAGAGGUAGACCUUCCUCCAGUAGAGGAGGACCAGUCUUUGGUCAAGGGUAUAUGAGUAGCUGCGCUCCCCUGCUAGAACCUCCAAACACGCUCUCAAGGUCUUGUUCCUUUUUAAAUAGUGUGUGUGUGUGUGUGUGUGUGUGUUUGAUGUACGUGUGUGUAUGGGUGGGUGUGAACAUGUCAUUUACAC